UGGUCCGUUGGUCAAGGGGUUAAGACACCGCCUUUUCACGGCUGUAACACGGGUUCGAAUCCCGUACGGACUAUC
This 75-nucleotide transfer RNA is filed under the name Streptococcus pyogenes. RNAcentral's name for it is "tRNA-Glu(ttc)". It matches the Rfam family "tRNA". Rfam says of the family: Transfer RNA (tRNA) molecules are approximately 80 nucleotides in length. Their secondary structure includes four short double-helical elements and three loops (D, anti-codon, and T loops). Lineage: Bacteria; Bacillati; Bacillota; Bacilli; Lactobacillales; Streptococcaceae. The record is from RNAcentral.